CGGUGAGCUAGGCCGGGGGGUUAGCGGUCCCUUCUCGCGAAAAUCCGCUAUAUGUCGGGCUGAAGCUUGGAAGAGGCGUUCGGAACCGCUCUCCAGCUUGGCUCGCGUCUGAGAAGUCUCGUCCUGCAGGGUCGACGGUGACGGGACCUCGAUCGUAAGGUUGAGGCAAACCGUCUUCACCUGCUGAACCCGGUCAGGGACGGAAGUCAGCAGCCGUAGGCAGGACGCGCGACGCUUGCGGGGUCGCGGGAUGGAGAUUGCGGACCAAGUGUCGGGGAGUGGAGAAGGCGUCCACUCCAAGCGUGUUCGCCG
This 312-nucleotide signal recognition particle RNA is filed under the name Hadesarchaea archaeon. RNAcentral's name for it is "signal recognition particle sRNA". It matches the Rfam family "Archaeal signal recognition particle RNA". Lineage: Archaea; Methanobacteriati; Hadarchaeota (SeqCode); Hadarchaeia (SeqCode). The record is from RNAcentral.